Prolemur simus (greater bamboo lemur) is the source of this 125-nucleotide small nucleolar RNA. The record is from Ensembl. NCBI's taxonomy places the organism in Eukaryota, Metazoa, Chordata, Mammalia, Primates, Lemuridae.
GUGCGUAUUUCAUUGUCUACUUUUAUGUCAAGAGAAAAGAUAUUUCCGAUGUGCUAAACAAACCUUGGGAGUGAAUUAGCAGCAUGGCUAAGUUAGCCUUUGCUGUCAGCCACCUUCAGAGGAGU